Molecule: ribosomal RNA, 271 nt
Filed under: uncultured bacterium
Lineage: Bacteria
Description: partial 16S ribosomal RNA
Rfam family: Bacterial small subunit ribosomal RNA
Source: RNAcentral
AAUGGGACCCUAGUGGCGGACGGGUGAGUAACGCGUGGGUAACCUGCCCCNUACCGGGGGAUAACACUUAGAAAUAGGUGCUAAUACCGCAUAAGCGCACGGUACUGCAUGGUACAGUGUGAAAAACUCCGGUGGUAUGGGAUGGACCCGCGUCUGAUUAGCUUGUUGGCGGGGUAACGGCCCACCAAGGCGACGAUCAGUAGCCGGCCUGAGAGGGUGGACGGCCACAUUGGGACUGAGACACGGCCCAAACUCCUACGGAAGGCAGCAG